Long non-coding RNA from Gasterosteus aculeatus aculeatus (three-spined stickleback), 1120 nucleotides. The record is from Ensembl. NCBI's taxonomy places the organism in Eukaryota, Metazoa, Chordata, Actinopteri, Perciformes, Gasterosteidae.
UUGACCUAUAAGGUGUUGUUCUUAGAUUUUUCACCAGCCACCACUAGUUCAAAUGUAUGAAAGCCCAUUGCCGCCUUAGAAAAGAAGGGUUAGAAAGUCGAAAUUAUUACUUAAGAUAUGCGCAGGCUUCUUUGUUGUUUGGUAAAUCUUAUAUUUUCACGUUCAGAUCUUUUUUUCACAUUCAGACUCUUGACCCUGACGUGGCGUAGGGGGCGGGGCAUCAACGGCAUCAAAAACUUGAUUUUCAAAUGAACAAAAUCUUUUUACAGAUUCAGACUUCCAGGUUCAAUAGCGACACCUCUCUGUAACCGUAGUGAUGUUAACAACCAGCUGCAAGGAGCCUGCGCAUGCGCAUUUAUUAUGGAAUUUUUCGACUUUCUAACUCUUCUUUUUUGUGCCGGAAAUGAGCUUCCAUACAAAUGUCUGUGACUGACAGACCUUUUCAUUAAACUACGGCCCUGUCCCUUACGGCAGUGGCCCCUAAGCCACCGCGGGCCAUUUGGUAACUGGCCGCACCUCAAAGAGAAUAGAUAACAUUUAUUUUUUGUCUUUUGACUUUUUUUCCGAAAAAUGUUUUAUCUUGAAUAUUGACCAGAUUCUCUCCUAACUACGUGUGCUCAUCCCUUCAGACAUAUUUCUCCAGCGUCACAAGUGUUUACGGUUACAAUUGUCGCAGUAAAAUUUGAGGAAAUUGCACUUUCUUGUUUCUUGUUCUUCUUCUUCUUCUUCUGGGUUUGUUUCCCUAUGGUUGAAUGCACUUGUAAGUCGCUUUGGAUGAAAGCGUCAGCUAAAUGACAUGUAAUGUAAUGUAAUGUAAUGAUGUAAUGUAAUCAUGACAGCUAAAAGCAAGGAGGAUCUCCAACUAAAAUGGCCUUUGCUUUUUUAUGCGCCUGGUGUCCUGCACUCCUCCACCUGCCCAUCUCCGCCCAAUCAUUUUAGACAUCUGCUUCAUCAACGCAUCAUUCUAUCAGCAACCACCACCACCAGUGUCUGUACUCCAUGGGGCGGAUAUAUCUUGGUGCUCAGGGGAACGGCCCUGUGAAGUGCAAGCGGCAACAACUCUGUCAAGACUGUCAUCGCAUAUCAUCUGUUAAUAAUAAACAAGUACCUUCAAUUCAUC